AGGCCUUCGGGUUGUAAAGCCCUUUUGUUGGGAAAGAAAAGCAUUCGGUUAAUACCCGAGUGUUCUGACGGUACCCAAAGAAUAAGCACCGGCUAACUUCGUGCCAGCAGCCGCGGUAAUACGAAGGGUGCAAGCGUUACUCGGAAUUACUGGGCGUAAAGCGUGCGUAGGUGGUGAUUUAAGUCCGUUGUGAAAGCCCUGGGCUCAACCUGGGAAUUGCAGUGGAUACUGGGUCACUAGAGUGUGGUAGAGGAUAGUGGAAUUUCCGGUGUAGCAGUGAAAUGCGUAGAGAUCGGAAGGAACAUCUGUGGCGAAGGCGACUAUCUGGGCCAACACUGACACUGAGGCACGAAAGCGUGGGGAGCAAACAGGAUUAGAUACCCUGGUAGUCCACGCCCUAAACGAUGCGAACU
RNAcentral lists this ribosomal RNA (413 nucleotides) under Pseudoxanthomonas sp. RNAcentral's name for it is "bacterial SSU rRNA". It matches the Rfam family "Bacterial small subunit ribosomal RNA", at positions 412 to 817 of the family's 1533-position model. The record is from RNAcentral. Lineage: Bacteria; Pseudomonadati; Pseudomonadota; Gammaproteobacteria; Lysobacterales; Lysobacteraceae.